GGGCAAUGGCCUGACGCGAUGUCUGAUUAGCUAGUUGGUGAGGUAAAGGCUCACCAAGGCGACGAUCAGUAGCUGGUCUGAGAGGACGACCAGCCACACUGGGACUGAGACACGGCCCAGACUCCUACGGGAGGCAGCAGUGGGGAAUUUUGGACAAUGGGGGAAACCCUGAUCCAGCCAUGCCGCGUGAGUGAAGAAGGCCUUCGGGUUGUAAAGCUCUUUCAGCCGGAACGAAACGGUCACGGCUAAUACCCGUGACUACUGACGGUACCGGAAGAAGAAGCACCGGCUAACUACGUGCCAGCAGCCGCGGUAAUACGUAGGGUGCGAGCGUUAAUCGGAAUUACUGGGCGUAAAGCGUGCGCAGGCGGUUUUGUAAGUCAGAUGUGAAAUCCCCGGGCUUAACCUGGGAACUGCGUUUGAAACACAAAAGCUAGA
Molecule: ribosomal RNA, 438 nt
Filed under: uncultured ammonia-oxidizing bacterium
Lineage: Bacteria
Description: bacterial SSU rRNA
Rfam family: Bacterial small subunit ribosomal RNA
Source: RNAcentral